Molecule: long non-coding RNA, 1101 nt
Filed under: Vulpes vulpes (red fox)
Lineage: Eukaryota; Metazoa; Chordata; Mammalia; Carnivora; Canidae
Description: lncRNA (ENSVVUG00000005919.1)
Source: RNAcentral
AUGAGAAGUUCCCCCGGGGACCAAAAGGUUAAAAAUAGAUACGGCAAAUGCAGAAGCAGCCACAGGACACGGGGUGAACGCGACAGCUCGUCCCUUUGGUGUAGAGAUACGGACACCGAGAAGCCAUUCCACACUUUGCUUUGUCCACGAAACCAGACCUGGCAGCCGCAUGCUGCGGGGUUGGCUGCCAAAUGCACGGCCUUCGGGUUUGCAGAAGCGGAGCCCCCGGCCCCCCAGAGCCAGAAGCGGACGGCGGCUCGGGCAGCAGGUGGCAGGGGGGCGACUUCACAGUGGGGCCGGGCUGCAGAGCCUGACACGCUGGGCCGCGAGGAGGGUGCAGGGGGGAAGGGGGGCGGCCCUCGGCCUUCCUUUCUCCUCCCCACCUGCUGGCCUCCGCAGCCGGCUCAGCUGCAGACUGGGUUCCUCGGUGUCUUCAGGAAAUACCACCCCCCCCCAAGUGUAGGACUCUGUCCAGUUCACCUUUUCUAUCUCAACACUUUCCAUUCCGAAAACCAAAGGGCUGGAACGCUGGUUUGCAAAUGUCAGGGACACUUUCAGCCCCAACCUAGGGCCAGGUGCCCCCCGCCCCCCCACACCCCAAAAAAGUGGUGGGUCACAUACAGGUAUACACAUCUUUCGUUGUCGUUGUGGCUGUUUGGAACAAACCGAACAGUGUUUGGUCUGGAAUGUGUUUUAAGGAAAAGGCAAACGUUGCCGAGUCUGGGCAGAGAGAACGUGGACGUAGUUGACGGUCUCAGGAGAACAUGCAACGGGCUCGGGCGCUGGUUGAAACAGAGGCCCUUCGUUUCAUUCGCCAGAAGCGAGCGCGUGACCCUGGGAAGCAGUACAUCUUAUUUCUGUUUGCAAAAUGGGAGGAGCUGCCCUCUGCCGGCCCUUGCUUUCCUUUCACGCAUCAGAAGGAGACCUUGGGAGCCACGCAGGGUUGGGGAGCGUUGCCGGGGGAAGCACAGCAGUCACCCCAGCUCUCUGUCCUCAGCCCCGGCGCCCUGGUUCCCGUGUGGCUGCUCCAGGGCGAGAAUCAGUGCAGGCCGAGGCUCAAGUACUGAGUUAUCUCUGCUGGAUAUGGUCUUUGCUGUUUAA